AGGACAUGGGUGGAAAACCACAAGCUUGUCCAGUGAUUGGGACAUGGGUGGAAAACCACAAGCUGUCCCGGUGAUUGGGGACGAGGGUGGAAAACCACAAGCUUGUCCAGUGAUUGGGACGAGGGUGGAAAAAGUAACCCCUGGUGAAUGGGGUAAAGACCCCGGUGAAUGGGGUAGAUAUCAAGAAUGAAAAAAAUCAGUAAAAAAAAAAAUUAAGGUGAAACAUUGUUAAUCUCUUUUAUGAUUAAAUAUCUAUCUAAAAAAAUUAAAAAAAGUGAAAUCAAUCACUGUUAAUCUCUUUUCAUGAUUGUAUCUCACUCCAUAGGAUAGGUUUUUUUAUCUAACCUUUUUUUCUUUUUUUUUCAGACUAUUCCUUUGAAGAACCCAAUGGAGUGGGCAAAUAUCCCCGAUGUUUUUCCUCAUUACUUAAUAUAUACAUAGCCUCUAUUUUGUAAUGCUAAUUUGUUACAAUUUCCCUCUUAUUAUUUAUUGUCAUAUUUUAACUUCAAAAGGACUUAAGAUGUAAUCCCAUGUUUAGAGGUGUUCAUUACUGCAUGAUUACCGUAUGUCACUACUUAAUCCUUUUCUUUUUUAGGUCAAUCAGUUAGAAGAUCACGCUCUGAAAAUACAGCAGGUCGGAUGUUUCUUAGAACAGAAAGCAGAAGUUGGUGAACCGAGAAACUGACUGGGGAGGAACCGGACUGACCUGGACCAAGCCAUUCCACAGAAGGAUACAGAGAUUGCAACCAUUUCUAGAAACACUUGUACAAUUUUUAAUUUUUUUUUCCAGUAAAUAUUAGAUAGGUAUGUUACAUUCAGACAAGCGAAUGUGGAAAAACCAAGGCAUGGCUGAAGUCGGUGCCGCAACGUGCUAGUGGUUUUUUCAAGAGUCUUUCAACUUCAAUAGGGAAGGAUCAAUAAAUAAUGUAUUUUCGGCUAUUGAAAUGUGCAGCCAUCUUGGGGUUAGUAGUUAGCCAGGGGGCAGUUACAGUAUCCUAAGUGUUGUGUUUUCCUUGGAAACCCAGACCUCGGGGGUUGGGCCUCGGCCUGACGGGAACUCAUCUCACUUUUAGCUAGAUAAGGUGGUUGCACUUUCCCAAAUUUGACAUGAUCACAUCAGUAUACACAUAUAUAUAUAUAUUUAGCGUAUCUUUAGUUAACUCAGCAUUUAAGACCUUGUGCUCGUAGGGUCGAGGCAAGGAGUUCUGGUCAGUUGAGUUCGUGACCCUCUGGGUCGGCGGAAUUAAUGUCGCUUGUUGGAGAAUAUGGUGUUGAGUCAGAGUUCUGUGGGAGUUUGUUCUCCCGUACGUUGAAGUUAUAGUUAGUCAUAAGUUAUGGCGGUCAGGCUUGGUGUGUGUGUUUGUGUGUUCUCUUCCCCAACUCCUGCACAGGUCCACGUGGGACAUCGAAGUUUGGCGAUGGAGAGGUAACUUACCGCCGCGCCAUCCGAUCCCGGAAGAACGGCUCGUCCGAGUCAUCUCCCUAAUGGGGACCCCUGAAGCGACGCCAUCUUCGCCGGACACCCUUCGACCAAGGACCGGUGAGGGCUACCGCAACUGAGGGGCGACUGCGGGCGAACGUUCGUGCCCCUUGCAGCAACACGGAGGAGGGGAGGAACACAGCUUGGAACCGCCUGGUAAGCAGCCUUGACGCGAGCUGAGGGACGAGGCUGAGGGACGAGAGACGAGUUCUAGAGAUGAGACGAGAGCUGCGACGAUCAAGUGACACCGGAGAGCGUCGACGUGAAGCGACGUUUCCACGGACCUGAACUCUGACGAACUCUGAAAGUUGUAAAAGUCUAGCAAACUGCGAACUCUAUUGCUAUGUGAACUCUGUAGUCUGUACAGAUGUCCGGUUUAUACAGAUGUCCAGUUGUAAGGACCCAUCAUUAUUAUCAUACAGUUUUUUUCUCUCAUUUAUAUAUUGUAGUAAUUAGUAUCGUAGAUAGAAAAAAGUUUAAAAAUCCGUUCGUUCGUUACUUCUUCGUAGGCAACAUCCCUAAAAGAACCCGGGGUUCCAACACAACAUCAGGCCCCGCUCACAUGUUUAGGUUUGUAGUACUAUACAUAAGCCAUGUAUAGUUUCAAUUUUUUUUUCAAUUAGAACUUAAAAUGUAAAAUAACUCUUAUCAUAAUUAUCAUUUACAUACCUGCAAUAAGAUAGUGAGACAAAUGUUAAGUGCCAUGUCUAAGUAAAAAGCUGUACAUAUUCAACAGUGCUUGUAUUUGUUGUAUUUUGUAUUUGUUGUGUUUGCUUGUAUUUCUAAAGUUAACAAGAUUGUAAGACAAGUGGAAUAUUUAAAAAUUGUUUAAUUAAAGCUGUCAAGAUUGAAACAUU
Branchiostoma belcheri (Belcher's lancelet) is the source of this 2337-nucleotide long non-coding RNA. RefSeq lists it as uncharacterized. The transcript is spliced from 2 exons. The record is from RefSeq and is a predicted model, not a curated record. Lineage: Eukaryota; Metazoa; Chordata; Leptocardii; Amphioxiformes; Branchiostomatidae.